RNAcentral lists this transfer RNA (95 nucleotides) under Jannaschia donghaensis. RNAcentral's name for it is "tRNA-Ala". Lineage: Bacteria; Pseudomonadati; Pseudomonadota; Alphaproteobacteria; Rhodobacterales; Roseobacteraceae. The record is from RNAcentral.
GCGCCGGGUGGACGGCACGGUGGAACGUCUGGGCGACGGCGGCCCCCCGGUUGGAAUGUUGCCGGACGUUCAGUUCGAAUGCAGAACGGUGCGCC